UGUACAGAAGGAAAGUUUGGAAGAGAGUAAUGCGAAAAGGAGAAUCAUGACUAGCUUGGAUCGAAUUUCUGUUUUGACAGAAGAUGAAGACGUUUUACGACCCGGUACUGCGUUGCAUGCAGUGGACUGUGCCCGAGACGAUUCCCACAGCGCCGGCGAAUAGUCAGCUUGUAAAAAUGGAAUCUGAAUGCUCACAAGAAGGACAAAACCAGUAUGAAAAUUAACACAGAGAAAUUGUGCCAGAAAAGUUUGAAGUGUCUAUGGGAAUGAUCAUCAUUGAACUUUCUGAGCCUUUCUACUUAAAGUGAAUCCGUUCGUGACAUGACCAGUUAUUUGACUACCCUCUAACAUAACGCCAUCUUUUAUUUAUUUAUUAUUGUGAAUUUCAUGGGAUAUAAGUGAGGAAGUGAUUCAAGCAGACACUUGAGAAAUUUCGAAUCUAACUUAAUUAGGAUCUUUGGCAUAUUCGGGGAAAAUAGCAUGUGUUGAUUUUAUGGGAUCUUCUUAUUAAUAUAGUUGUGUAGUGGAUAUUUUGUACUUAAUACAUGUGUUUGUCACUCUAGUCUAGUCAUUAACUUUGUACGGUAAAUGUACAUGGGCAACUGGAAGUUCACUGUAACUGUAUAUCCCGUUGAGGUUUCAAUGACCUCUUCCAAUGUCAUUAAGUCAAAUGCCAUAUUUUAAAAAAGAAACAGUUUGUUUUAUUACAAAAAAAUGUCGAUCAGUGAGAAUACUUUGAAAAAAUGUGCUUACAUUGUACAUAUAUAAGUGUAUAUGUAAUAUUUGUUUAAAAACACAUUGUAAAAGAAACUAUUUUUUUAAUUUUGAAAAUAUAGAUUUGAUCUAUGAUAAAUUUUGAUGUUAUCAUUAUUUCAGUUUUCAUUGUAUCUUCCUGGGAUUUCUUAGAUUUCCAUGGAAUUCCAUAGAUUUCCAAAUAUCCUUGUGCACAAAUAUGUUGGGCCAACAUUGGGCCAACAUAAGAAUUAUCAUUGUUUGACAUUGGGCCAACGUAGCGCCUACAUGUAGGAGCACAAAUACGUUGGGCCUACAUUGGGCCAACAUCAGAAUUAUCAUUGUAUGACAUUGGGCCAACGUAGCGCCAACAUGUCGGUGCAACGUUGCACCGAUGAGCAAAAUUACAUUGGCCCAAUAUAAAUUUUCCGACAUUGGGCCAACCUAACUGACAACAGUGGCCCAACGUUGGACCAACGUCAGAAUUAUCGUUCUAUGACAUUGGGCCAACGUUGCGCCAACAUGUCGGCGCAACGUUGCGCCGAUGAGCAAAAUUACAUUGGCCCAAUAUCAUUUUCCGACAUUGGACCAACGUAACUUACAACGGUGGCCCAACAUUGGGCCAACGUAAGCUUGCUA
Long non-coding RNA from Saccostrea cuccullata (small rock oyster), 1371 nucleotides. RefSeq lists it as uncharacterized. The transcript has 4 exons. The record is from RefSeq and is a predicted model, not a curated record. Lineage: Eukaryota; Metazoa; Mollusca; Bivalvia; Ostreida; Ostreidae.